Molecule: ribosomal RNA, 253 nt
Filed under: uncultured bacterium
Lineage: Bacteria
Description: partial 16S ribosomal RNA
Rfam family: Bacterial small subunit ribosomal RNA
Source: RNAcentral
UACGUAGGGGGCAAGCGUUAUCCGGAUUCACUGGGCUUAAAGGGCGCGUAGGCGGGUUGGUAAGUCCGUGGUGAAAUCUCUGAGCUUAACUCAGAAACUGCCAUGGAUACUAUUUGUCUUGAAUAUUGUGGAGGUAAGCGGAAUAUGUCAUGUAGCGGUGAAAUGCUUAGAUAUGACAUAGAACACCAAUUGCGAAGGCAGCUUACUACACAGUUAUUGACGCUGAGGCACGAAAGCGUGGGGAUCAAACAGG